RNAcentral lists this ribosomal RNA (85 nucleotides) under Habronema microstoma. RNAcentral's name for it is "partial 28S ribosomal RNA". It matches the Rfam family "Eukaryotic large subunit ribosomal RNA", at positions 1 to 77 of the family's 3401-position model. The record is from RNAcentral. Lineage: Eukaryota; Metazoa; Nematoda; Chromadorea; Rhabditida; Habronematidae.
UAAUUCGUUGACCUCAGCUCAGUCGUGAUUACCCGCUGAAUUUAAGCAUAUAACUAAGCGGAGGAAAAGAAACUAACCAGGAUUC